Molecule: ribosomal RNA, 322 nt
Filed under: uncultured eukaryote
Lineage: Eukaryota
Description: partial 18S ribosomal RNA
Rfam family: Eukaryotic small subunit ribosomal RNA
Source: RNAcentral
CCCUUAGAUGUUCUGGGCCGCACGCGUGCUACACUGAGUGGAUCAGCGGGUCAGGUUACGCGAGAGCGUUUCCUAAUCUUCAAAUCCGCUCGUGAUGGGGAUUGACGGUUGCAAUUUUCCGUCAUGAACGAGGAAUACCUUGUAAGCGCGGGUCAUCAUCCCGCGCUGAAUACGUCCCCGCCCUUUGUACACACCGCCCGUCGCUCCUACCGAUUGAGUGGUCCGGUGAGGCUUUGGGAUCUAAGCGAAAAGAGCGUUUCGCUCCUUUUGCUGGGAGAACUCAGUCGAACCUUAUCAUUUAGAGGAAGGAGAAGUCGUAACA